GUAGGUCACAAGCGUUGUCCGGAAUUACUGGGUGUAAAGGGAGCGCAGGCGGGAAGACAAGUUGGAAGUGAAAUCUAUGGGCUCAACCCAUAAACUGCUUUCAAAACUGUUUUUCUUGAGUAGUGCAGAGGUAGGCGGAAUUCCCGGUGUAGCGGUGGAAUGCGUAGAUAUCGGGAGGAACACCAGUGGCGAAGGCGGCCUACUGGGCACCAACUGACGCUGAGGCUCGAAAGUGUGGGUAGCAAACAGGAUUAGAUACCCUGGUAGUCCACACCGUAAACGAUGAUUACUAGGUGUUGGAGGAUUGACCCCUUCAGUGCCGCAGUUAACACAAUAUGUAAUCCACCUGGGGAGUACGACCGCAAGGUUG
This 370-nucleotide ribosomal RNA is filed under the name uncultured bacterium. Its description in RNAcentral is "bacterial SSU rRNA". It matches the Rfam family "Bacterial small subunit ribosomal RNA", at positions 527 to 896 of the family's 1533-position model. The record is from RNAcentral.